CCUGAACGCUGGCGGCGUGGCUAAGACAUGCAAGUCGCACGGACCCGCAAGGGUUAGUGGCGAACGGGUGAGUAAUGAAUCGCUAAUGUACCCCGGAUUCUGGGGAUAGCUAACCGAAAGGUUAGGUAAUACCAGAUGAUAUAACCGAACCGCAUGGUUUGGUUCUCAAAGGAGCAAUCCGCUCUGGGAGCAGGCGAUUUCGAUCAGCUUGUUGGUGAGGUAAUGGCNACCCAAGGCGACGACGCGUAGCCGGACUGAGAGGUUGGCCGGCCACAUUGGGACUGAGACACUGCCCAGACUCCU
RNAcentral lists this ribosomal RNA (303 nucleotides) under uncultured bacterium. RNAcentral's name for it is "bacterial SSU rRNA". It matches the Rfam family "Bacterial small subunit ribosomal RNA", at positions 30 to 340 of the family's 1533-position model. The record is from RNAcentral.